AUUGAACGCUGGCGGCAGGCCUAACACAUGCAAGUCGAGCGAGCGGCGGACGGGUUAGUAAUGUCUGGGAAACUGCCUGAUGGAGGGGGUGAACUACUGGAAACGGUAGCUAUUACCGCAUACCAUCAGAGGUGACCAGAUGGGAUUAGCUAGUAGGUGGGGUAAUGGCUCACAGAGGCGACGAUCCCUAGCUGGUCUGAGAGGAUGACCAGCCACACUGGAACUGCGCAACGGUCCAGACUCCUACGGGAGGCAGCAGUGGGGAAUAUGGCACAAUGGGCGCAGGCCUGAUGCAGCAAUGCCGCGUGUAUGAAGAAGGCCUGCGGGUUGUAAAGUAAUUUCAGCUAGGAGGCGUUACUCGCAGAAGAAGCACCGGCUAACUCCGUGCCAGCAGCCGCGGUAAUAC
Molecule: ribosomal RNA, 406 nt
Filed under: uncultured bacterium
Lineage: Bacteria
Description: partial 16S ribosomal RNA
Rfam family: Bacterial small subunit ribosomal RNA
Source: RNAcentral